UUUGACCUCAAAUCAGGUASGACUACCCGCU
This 31-nucleotide ribosomal RNA is filed under the name Oudemansiella canarii. RNAcentral's name for it is "partial large subunit ribosomal RNA". Lineage: Eukaryota; Fungi; Basidiomycota; Agaricomycetes; Agaricales; Physalacriaceae. The record is from RNAcentral.